CUCCCAGGCCAGAAGCCACAGGAAGCAUCCAACCAGUAUCCCAGAGAAGGGAGGGAUCCUACCAGUGGAAAUCACUUCUCCUACUCCGGGUGAAACUUCAACUUUGAUAGGAAGAGUUGAUCCAGGGAAGAAAAGGCAAAACACCCCGCUUUUUAAGCCUGAUGACUAUAUGCUCAAUGCUGAGCCAACGUUAACGCUGCCAACCUUACCGAGCGUAAUAGAGUUUGAAGAGGAUUAUCUAGCCCGAAGGAAAACGAGUAGCGACAGCUUCAGGAAAGUUUCCCAUUUCCAUUGUGAUACCUCUGCUGCGACUGAUAUUAUCCUGCUGGUGGAUGGAUCUUGGAGUAUCGGACGCAACAAUUUUGGACUCAUUCGAGAAUUCCUGGCAUCUUUGCUGGCACCUUU
This is a non-coding RNA of Pseudonaja textilis, 405 nucleotides long. Lineage: Eukaryota; Metazoa; Chordata; Lepidosauria; Squamata; Elapidae. The record is from RefSeq and is a predicted model, not a curated record.